AUUGAACGCUGGCGGCAUGCUUUACACAUGCAAGUCGAACGGCAGCGCGGGCUUCGGCCUGGCGGCGAGUGGCGAACGGGUGGGUAAUUCAUCGGAACGUGCCCAUUAGUGGGGGAUAGCCCGGCGAAAGCCGGAUUAAUACCGCAUACGACCUGAGGGUGAAAGCGUGGGACCGAAAGGCCUCGCGCUCUUGGGGCGGCCGAUGUCGGAUUAGCUAGUUGGUGGGGUAAAGGCUUACCAAGGCGACGAUCCGUAGCUGGUCUGAGAGGACGACCAGCCACACUGGGACUGAGACACGGCCCAGACUCCUACGGGAGGCAGCAGUGGGGAAUUUUGGACAAUGGGGGCAAGCCUGAUCCAGCCAUGCCGCGUGCGGGAAGAAGGCCUUCGGGUUGUAAAGCGCUUUUGUUCGGGAAGAAAUCCUCUGGGCUAAUACCCCGGGGGGAUGACGGUACCGGAAGAAUAAGCACCGGCUAACUACGUG
Molecule: ribosomal RNA, 484 nt
Filed under: uncultured bacterium
Lineage: Bacteria
Description: partial 16S ribosomal RNA
Rfam family: Bacterial small subunit ribosomal RNA
Source: RNAcentral